AACGCGAAGAACCUUACCAAGGCUUGACAUCUGAGGAAGUUUCCAGAAAUGGAAAUGUGCCCGCAAGGGAACCUCAAGACAGGUGGUGCAUGGCUGUCGUCAGCUCGUGUCGUGAGAUGUUGGGUUAAGUCCCGCAACGAGCGCAACCCUUGUUGUUAGUUGCCAUCAGGUAAAGCUGGGCACUCUAGCGAGACUGCCGGUGACAAACCGGAGGAAGGUGGGGACGAGGUCAAGUCAUCAUGCCCUUUAUGCCUUGGGCUACACACGUGUUACAAUGGCUAGGACAAUGUGAUGCAAAACCGCGAGGUGGAGCGAAUCACCAAACCUAGUCUCAGUUCGGAUCGCAGGCUGCAACUUGCCUGCGUGAAGUCGGAAUCGCUAGUAAAUGCCGAUCAGCACGCGGCAUUGAAUACGUUCCCGGGCCUUGUA
This 429-nucleotide ribosomal RNA is filed under the name uncultured Cyanobacterium sp. Its description in RNAcentral is "bacterial SSU rRNA". It matches the Rfam family "Bacterial small subunit ribosomal RNA", at positions 958 to 1385 of the family's 1533-position model. Lineage: Bacteria; Bacillati; Cyanobacteriota; Cyanophyceae; Chroococcales; Geminocystaceae. The record is from RNAcentral.